CAGCCGCCGCGGUAAUACCGAGGGUGCGAGCGUUAAUCGGAUUUACUGGGCGUAAAGCGUGCGUAGGCGGCUUCUUAAGUCGGAUGUGAAAUCCCUGAGCUUAACUUAGGAAUUGCAUUCGAUACUGGGAAGCUAGAGUAUGGGAGAGGAUGGUAGAAUUCCAGGUGUAGCGGUGAAAUGCGUAGAGAUCUGGAGGAAUACCGAUGGCGAAGGCAGCCAUCUGGCCUAAUACUGACGCUGAGGUACGAAAGCAUGGGGAGCAAACAGGAUUAGAUACCCCGUAGUUCCUGUCUCUUAUACA
Molecule: ribosomal RNA, 301 nt
Filed under: uncultured bacterium
Lineage: Bacteria
Description: partial 16S ribosomal RNA
Rfam family: Bacterial small subunit ribosomal RNA
Source: RNAcentral